GAUGAACGCUGGCGGCGUGCCUUAUACAUGCAAGUCGAGCGAACAGACGAGGAGCUUGCUCCUCUGACGUUAGCGGUGGACGGGUGAGUAACACGUGGAUAACCUACCUAUAAGACUGGGAUAACUUCGGGAAACCGGAGCUAAUACCGGAUAACAUGUUGAACCGCAUGGUUCAACAGUGGAGGACGGUCUUGCGGGCACUUAUAGAUGGAUCCGCGCCGCAUUAGCUAGUUGGUAAGGAAACGGCUUACCAAGUCAACGAUGCGUAGCCGACCUGAGAGGGGUAUCGGCCACACUGGAACUGAGACACGGUCCAGACUCCUACGGGAGGCAGCAGUAGGGAAUCUUACGCAAUGGGCGAAAGCCUGACGGAGCAACGCCGCGUGAGUGAAGAAGGUCUUCGGAUCGUAAAACUCUGUUAUUAGGGAAGAACAAAUGUGUAAGUAACUAUGCACGUCUUGACGGUACCUAAUCAGAAAGCCACGGCUAACUACGUGCCAGCCGCCGCGGUAA
This 513-nucleotide ribosomal RNA is filed under the name uncultured bacterium. RNAcentral's name for it is "partial 16S ribosomal RNA". It matches the Rfam family "Bacterial small subunit ribosomal RNA", at positions 28 to 523 of the family's 1533-position model. The record is from RNAcentral.